This 420-nucleotide ribosomal RNA is filed under the name uncultured bacterium. RNAcentral describes it as "bacterial SSU rRNA". It matches the Rfam family "Bacterial small subunit ribosomal RNA", at positions 355 to 774 of the family's 1533-position model. The record is from RNAcentral.
UAAGGAAUAUUGCUCAAUGGGAGAAAUCCUGAAGCAGCAACGCCGCGUGGAGGAUGAAGGGUCUAUGACUUGUAAACUCCUGUAAAGAAGGAAAAAAUUCCAAUUAGAUGGGAGAUGAUGGUACUUCUGGAGUAAGCCCCGGCUAACUACGUGCCAGCAGCCGCGGUAAUACGUAGGGGGCAAGCGUUGUCCGGAUUUACUGGGUGUAAAGGGUGCUCAGGCGGAUUUGUAAGUCAGAGGUGAAAUCUUACAGCUUAACUGUGAAACUGCCUUUGAUACUGCAAGCCUAGAGUAUGGAAGAGAGUGAUGGAAUAUCUGGUGUAGCAGUGAAAUGCGUAGAUAUCAGAUAGAACACCAAUGGCGAAGGCAGUCACUUGGUCCAUUACUGACGCUAAAGCACGAAAGCGUGGGUAGCAAACA